RNAcentral lists this long non-coding RNA (472 nucleotides) under Mytilus galloprovincialis (Mediterranean mussel). The record is from RNAcentral. Lineage: Eukaryota; Metazoa; Mollusca; Bivalvia; Mytilida; Mytilidae.
CACAUUUUUAGAUUAUUAUAGUGUGGCAUUAUAUUUACUGAAAUUUGUUGUCAAAAACAUGUUUUUUAAAGAAUAUGGACAAAAACAUUGUUUGUUUGUUGUACGGCGAAUUGCAGGACGUUGUACGGCGAAUUGCAAAAUAACAACUUUUGUGUGUACGGCGUCUUGCAAUAUAUCAUAUUUUUAAGAGGAAAUUAAUCACUGUUUAGAUAAAAUCAAGUGACGAUAUUUUGUUGAUAUCAAAGCUUUACAGGCUUAUAAAUAUACAAAAUGUCUAACUUAUCAAAUAUUAUUAAAUACAUGCCGUUAAUUCAGUUCAGAAGGCCUCUGUUGCGUACCGCUUUUCGAUUUUGUACAAAAAGGUUUUUUCAACCAUAUUAUCCUAAAUACAUUUAUAUAUCGUUAUACUACUAGCGACUGUUGUCUUUUUGUUUUAGUGUAAAUUCAAUAAAAUAAACCGUCCAUUCAUCGU